This 666-nucleotide ribosomal RNA is filed under the name Arthrobacter sp. CAL622. RNAcentral describes it as "bacterial SSU rRNA". It matches the Rfam family "Bacterial small subunit ribosomal RNA", at positions 125 to 802 of the family's 1533-position model. The record is from RNAcentral. Lineage: Bacteria; Bacillati; Actinomycetota; Actinomycetes; Micrococcales; Micrococcaceae.
CCUGCCCUUGACUCUGGGAUAAGCCUGGGAAACCGGGUCUAAUACUGGAUAUGACCUUCUGGCGCAUGCCAUGUUGGUGGAAAGCUUUAUUGCGGUUUUGGAUGGACUCGCGGCCUAUCAGCUUGUUGGUGGGGUAAUGGCCUACCAAGGCGACGACGGGUAGCCGGCCUGAGAGGGUGGACGGCCACACUGGGACUGAGACACGGCCCAGACUCCUACGGGAGGCAGCAGUGGGGAAUAUUGCACAAUGGGCGCAAGCCUGAUGCAGCGACGCCGCGUGGGGGAUGAAGGCCUUCGGGUUGUAAACCUCUUUCAGUAGGGAAGAAGCGAAAGUGACGGUACCUGCAGAAGAAGCGCCGGCUAACUACGUGCCAGCAGCCGCGGUAAUACGUAGGGCGCAAGCGUUAUCCGGAAUUAUUGGGCGUAAAGAGCUCGUAGGCGGUUUGUCGCGUCUGCCGUGAAAGUCCGGGGCUUAACUCCGGAUCUGCGGUGGGUACGGGCAGACUAGAGUGAUGUAGGGGAGACUGGAAUUCCUGGUGUAGCGGUGAAAUGCGCAGAUAUCAGGAGGAACACCGAUGGCGAAGGCAGGUCUCUGGGCAUUAACUGACGCUGAGGAGCGAAAGCAUGGGGAGCGAACAGGAUUAGAUACCCUGGUAGUCCAUGCCC